UACGGAGGGGGCAAGCGUUGUUCGGAUUUACUGGGCGUAAAGGGCGCGUAGGCGGCGCAACAAGUCACUUGUGAAAUCUCCGGGCUUAACUCGGAACGGUCAAGUGAUACUGUUGUGCUAGAGUGCAGAAGGGGCAAUCGGAAUUCUUGGUGUAGCGGUGAAAUGCGUAGAUAUCAAGAGGAACACCUGAGGCGAAGGCGGAUUGCUGGGCUGACACUGACGCUGAGGCGCGAAAGCUAGGGGAGCGAACGGG
RNAcentral lists this ribosomal RNA (253 nucleotides) under uncultured bacterium. Its description in RNAcentral is "partial 16S ribosomal RNA". It matches the Rfam family "Bacterial small subunit ribosomal RNA", at positions 524 to 776 of the family's 1533-position model. The record is from RNAcentral.